This is a small nucleolar RNA of Panicum virgatum (switchgrass), 101 nucleotides long. RefSeq annotates it as small nucleolar RNA Z118/Z121/Z120. The transcript has a single exon. NCBI's taxonomy places the organism in Eukaryota, Viridiplantae, Streptophyta, Magnoliopsida, Poales, Poaceae. The record is from RefSeq and is a predicted model, not a curated record.
UAAUUGCUGUGAGGACUCCUUUUAGGACGGUAUCUGAAGGGGUGACCUUUAGUGCACCUCAUCUGAUUAUACCAAAACUGAAUAUGGUUUCUGAGCAAAUU